GGCUUCCUGGGCACGUCACAGUCCGGUGAUGUCAUGGGCUGCCGCCCCCUCUCCCCGAAGCCGGGGUUGAGCCACCUCUCGGCUCCCGCAGCCCGAGAGCCCGAGAGCGAGCGGGAGCCAGAGCCAGUCCCCAGAUCGGCAUCUUUCCGUUCCCACUGGUGCCAAGUCAUCCCAUAGGACACUCGGAGUCUGUUCUGUUCCAGCAACGGUGCGAGGCACCGGGGGUGACAACAGUGAACCCAAAGACCUUCUCGCCUUCGUGGAGCUCAUGAUUAGAGAAAAAAAAGCUAGGGUGAGGGGAUUAAAACAUGAAAGAGCAAGACACUAAAAAGGAACACAGGUUUUAGAAGGAAUUUCUAGAAUUAGAAAAACUAUUGAAAUUCAGGUCUCAAAGGAUGAGACAAAAAAGUAGAUUAGAUAUAGAAGAUAAGCCACUGAACUGGAAAAUAGAUCAGAAGCAACUCACCAGAGAAACUAGGUGAUGGGCAAUGUAAAAGAGGAAGUGAGUCUUCUCACUUCAGUCCUAUCACAGGCCCAAUCAGAAUUCCAGAAGGAGAGAAAAAAAAUGGGAGAGGCAGUACCUGAAGAAGAGCUUACAAACUUCAUUAAAGACCAGGAUUCUCACAUAAAAUCCAAAGCGGGAUAAAUAAAAGUAGCAUUUUGGCACUUUGUAAUGAAUUUGCAGAACUCCAAAGAGAAGAUAGAAAAAUGGUGAGCAACUCAACUGGCAAACAUGUGAGUAGAUCUAAAACACAGUGGAACAUGAACAGUGACGGUUAAUCUGUGGAGUACAAAACAAGAAAGGACACAACUGGGUUAACAUUUAAAUAUAACAAAGCACAGAUGUUAAGUGUGUGAGGAGUUUUGACACCGUACAGCCCAAACUCCUACAAAAAUACUGAACACUACCAUCACCUCUUGAGAAAGUUCCCUUCUGCCUCUCCUCAGUCCAUUUCCACCCUCACCUCAAGAUGUAACCACCAUUCUGAGCUUUUCACUAUAGGUUAGUCUCAGCUGGCUAGAACUUCAUAUAAACAGACCCAUACAGUACAGGCUUUUGUAUCUGGCUUCUUUACCUCAAUAUGAACCUCUUGUCAUUACAGACCUCAGCAGACCGUUUAUUUUUAUUGCUGGGUAGUUUCCAUUGUGUGGAUGUAGCACAGUUUGGUCAUCCAUCCUCCUACCAACGGACACCUGGACUGUCCAGCUUUUGGUGAUUACAAUAAAGAUGCUAUGAACAUUCCUGUAA
Molecule: long non-coding RNA, 1249 nt
Organism: Canis lupus familiaris (dog)
Lineage: Eukaryota; Metazoa; Chordata; Mammalia; Carnivora; Canidae
Exons: 2
Source: RefSeq, a predicted model, not a curated record